Carassius auratus (goldfish) is the source of this 541-nucleotide long non-coding RNA. RefSeq lists it as uncharacterized. The transcript is spliced from 3 exons. The record is from RefSeq and is a predicted model, not a curated record. Lineage: Eukaryota; Metazoa; Chordata; Actinopteri; Cypriniformes; Cyprinidae.
AAUCCUCUGAGAGGAAAGCAGAGAGGAAAGCAGCUUCAAAUUCUUCCCACGUGGUUAUUGAGGAUCGUGCAACUUCCCACCAGUCCCGGGCAGUACCGUAAAGGACAGUGCGGAAAGUGGCCAGAAUGUCAGCAUCAGAGCAGGAAGCAAAGGAGCGGUCACUGGUGAUACAGCUGAAACUGGAGCGUUAAGAGGCAAAGGAGUUGAUAGGAUACCAGGCAAGUCCUGCUGUGCCGCCGAAGAUUGAGAUGAAGGGUCAAGUAAUGUACAUAUCUGCAUAGAGUCGCCAUUCGGUUCCUCCUCCCAGAUGAAGGGUUGAACAGGAGUACUGCCAGCUAGUGGUGAAGUUGCAAACCGCACCUGGGUUCCUGGUACAUCAGUGGUGCUGGCUUGAGUAGGAGUGACAUGGAGAGGAACACGAGAGAGUCCAGGUGGAGAAAGUAGAGGACGAGGUGCUGGAGGCCAGACUGGGGUAGCAACAUCGGGUGCCGGUGGUUCAAUCUCCACAAAAGUGGAUGGAGAGAGAGGAGUGGUAGCCAUG